CUUUGUCUUAUGGGUCAGGUUUCAGCAGAGGCUCAACCUGGGUGCUGACUUUUGAACCUCUGAAGAUGCUGCCGUGCUUGUACUCGGCGUGACUCUCCUCUUCAAAGAAGAGUAGCAUUGUAAGCCAUGGGUAGGAUGUGUUUUUCUACUUGCUGUGGAGAAUCUGCUCACAAAGGAAGGGCCAAAAAUAUUUUGAGUGAUGUUCUCUUAGUUUACAUUGCUGAUUAAAGCUGGAGGCCCUGUUUCUCUGUGGAAAUAGUAUCCACAAUCCAUCACAACAGCCCGUCUGAGCCGGGGGCUAAAUCACCCCUUUGGCAGCCAUUUUGUUAAAGCUCAGCCUUACACUGAGGUGAGAAAACGAACUGGAGACCCUUUGAGGAAAUCUUUGUGUUCAAGCUCAAUAUCUUUAUUAUGUCUUGCUGCAGCUGACUGGGUCUCUGGUUUUAUUUGUCUGUUGAAGCAGCACCAUGGGUUAAGCUGCUCGCGGCUCCUGGGUAUCGCAGAUGAGGAGCCUGCUGGGGCACUGAGCUGCACUUUGGCAAUUCCCGACAAAAUCCAAACUUCCCAUCUCGUGGCCUUUAAAAUGAGGUGUUUCUUAAAUUCACAGCAAGCCCUGCACAGCUUUUAGCUACAGGCAGGUGUGUCAGUGACACGGAUGAGCCGCUGCUCUCCUAGGAGGUGAUUUUCACAUGCAUCUUGUUGUGCAGGCAGCAAGAGGAGAUGCAUCCUCAGGAAAUCAUGAACCUUGCAGGACGUGUUGUUUUCCAUCAGCAGUAAACAGCACUGCCUGUGUGCAGUGCAGGGAGGACAGAACUGAAACAAGACUAGAAGACAAGCUGCAGAAGAAAAGCUGCCUCUAAAGAUCCUUUCAAAAGUGCAGCACAGGAGGGAACAAGUGGACGCUGAUUUUGAUGAAACUUCCUGUAGUGUUUGGCAUUCCUUAAUAUGUCCUGAUGCCUUUGAUUUCUUCUCCUCCAUUGCAGCAUCAAAGAAUGUGGCACCAACACAAUGCUGUCCACAUCUGGAUGUGCCACAGAGGAGCUGAGCUGAGUGCCCAGCGAACUUUAUUGCUGCAGAGAACCUGGCAGAACUCAUCCCACCUUGCAGCUGACACUUUCCUGUGGCAGGGACAGGACAAGGGCCCAGAUCUUCAGACAGGAGGUCUGGUGGUUCUGAAUACUGCAAUGUUUUGAAAUCAAUUUGCCAGCUGUGGUGAGUCCUGCAAAUCU
Molecule: long non-coding RNA, 1229 nt
Filed under: Cyanistes caeruleus (blue tit)
Lineage: Eukaryota; Metazoa; Chordata; Aves; Passeriformes; Paridae
Description: lncRNA (ENSCCEG00000012163.1)
Source: RNAcentral